GCAUCGAUAUAGCUCAGUGGCAAAGCGGUGGGGCAUUUACCCAUGCGGCCCGGGUUCGAUCCCCGGUCGAUGCA
Molecule: non-coding RNA, 74 nt
Organism: Phthorimaea operculella (potato tuberworm)
Lineage: Eukaryota; Metazoa; Arthropoda; Insecta; Lepidoptera; Gelechiidae
Source: the annotation of a GenBank genome assembly